This 412-nucleotide ribosomal RNA is filed under the name uncultured bacterium. RNAcentral describes it as "bacterial SSU rRNA". It matches the Rfam family "Bacterial small subunit ribosomal RNA", at positions 29 to 428 of the family's 1533-position model. The record is from RNAcentral.
AACGAACGUUAGCGGCGCGCCUAACGCAUGCAAGUCGCACGAGAAAGGGAGCAAUCCCCGGUAAAGUGGCGCACGGGUGAGUAACACGUAGGUAAUCUGCCUCUGAGUGGUGGAUAACGUCUCGAAAGGGACGCUAAUACAGCAUGAGACCACGGCCUCGAAAGAGGCUGAGGUCAAAGCGGGCCUCUAUACAUAAGCUCGCGCUCGGAGAUGAGCCUGCGGCCCAUCAGCUAGUUGGUAGGGUAACGGCCUACCAAGGCGUAGACGGGUAGCUGGUCUGAGAGGAUGAUCAGCCACACUGGAACUGAGACACGGUCCAGACUCCUACGGGAGGCAGCAGUGGGGAAUCUUGCGCAAUGGGCGAAAGCCUGACGCAGCGACGCCGCGUGAGGGAUGACGGCCUCGGUUGUAA